RNAcentral lists this ribosomal RNA (253 nucleotides) under uncultured bacterium. RNAcentral describes it as "partial 16S ribosomal RNA". It matches the Rfam family "Bacterial small subunit ribosomal RNA", at positions 524 to 776 of the family's 1533-position model. The record is from RNAcentral.
UACGUAGGGUGCAAGCGUUAAUCGGAAUUACUGGGCGUAAAGCGUGCGCAGGCGGCUUUGCGAGACAGAUGUGAAAUCCCCGGGCUUAACCUGGGAACUGCAUUUGUGACUGCAAGACUCGAGUGCGGCAGAGGGGGGUGGAAUUCCACGUGUAGCAGUGAAAUGCGUAGAGAUGUGGAGGAACACCGAUGGCGAAGGCAGCCCCCUGGGUCGACACUGACGCUCAUGCACGAAAGCGUGGGGAGCAAACAGG